UGAAGGAUUUGGGGGCAGAGCACUUGGCAGGUCAUGAAGGGGUCCAACUUCUCGGGUUGUUGAACGUCUACCUGGAACAAGAAGAGAGAUUCCAACCUCGAGAAAAAGGGCUGAGUUUGAUUGAGGCUACCCCGGAGAUGAUAACACUUUGUGUCCAGGAUUGAGAAAUGCCAAAGUUGAAGAUUUAAGGAGUUUAGCCAACUUUUUUGGAUCUUGCACUGAAACUUUUGUCCUGGCUGUCAAUAUUUUGGACAGGUUCUUGGCUCUUAUGAAGUGAAACCUAAACAUUUGUCUUGCAUUGGAGUCUGUUCUUUUUUGCUGGCUGCUAGAAUAGUUGAAGAAGACUGCAAUAUUCCAUCCACUCAUGAUGUGAUCCGGAUUAGUCAGUGUAAAUGUACUGCUUCUGACAUAAAACGGAUGGAAAAAAUAAUUUCAGAAAAAUUGCACUAUGAAUUGGAAGCUACUACUGCCUUAAACUUUUUGCACUUAUACCAUACUAUUAUACUUUGUCAUACUUCAGAAAGAAAGAAAUACUGAGCCUUGAUAAACUAGAAGCUCAGCUGAAAGCUUGCAACUGCCGACUCAUCUUUUCAAAAGCAAAACAUCUGUAUUAGCCUUGUGCCUUCUCAAUUUGGAAGUGGAAACUUUGAAAUCUGUUGAAUUACUGGAAAUUCUCUUGCUAGUUAAAAAACAUUCCAAGUUAAUGACACUGAGUUCUUCUACUGGAGAGAGUUGGUUUCUAAAUGCCUAGCCGAGUAUUCUUCUCCUGAAUGUUGCAAACCAGAUCUUAAGAAGUUGGUUUGGAUCGUUUCAAGGCGCACAGCCCAGAACCUCCACAACAGCUACUAUAGUGUUCCUGAGCUGCCAACGAUACCUGAGGGGGGUUGUUUUGAUGAAAGUGAAAGGAGGACUCUUGUGAAGAUAUGAGUUGUGGAGAGGAGAGUCUCAGCAGCUCUCCUCCCAGUGAUCAAGAGUGCACCUUCUUUUUCAACUUCAAAGUGGCACAAACACUGUGCUUUCCAUCU
Molecule: long non-coding RNA, 1025 nt
Filed under: Homo sapiens (human)
Lineage: Eukaryota; Metazoa; Chordata; Mammalia; Primates; Hominidae
Description: long non-coding RNA NONHSAT097049.2
Source: RNAcentral